CCCACGCCCAAAACCUUUUCAACUACAUCCCUUUGUCAAACCUAAUGUUUUUUCACGGUUACUAUUCCCUUUCCUUCUGUUACACAAUUGAAAUUCCUAUCCCCCACGUUUUGAUUCAUUGUUUCAGGCUUAGUCCCUUCCCCUUCCCCACCUUUUGAUUCUCACUGUUUCAGCUUUUGUUCUACUGUUUCACUCACGGUUUCAUCUUCCUGUUCUACGGUUUCAGCUUCUGUUUUGGCUUCUAACGGCAGCCCCUAUUUCUUCCUUCCUUCCUUCCUCUCCUCACAUCUAUAUAAAUACUGACGUAAGCGGGUGGUUCAGUUGAGCUAGGUUAUUUAAUUGGAGCACUGCUUCUUUUGGGUAUGUUCAUUCUGAUUUUCUAACUAUAUUAACUCUGUCAUGGCGUGGGUUUUUCUAACCAAGUGGUGGCUUAAGAAAAGAGUGAGGACUUCAUUGAAAAUGAAUUUUACACCAAUGCACCGGAUUAACUUUCAAACAAUGCCUUAUCUUUUGAUACCCAAAAUAAAUAAAUUGGAUUAAGAAAUUGAUUACAAAUUUAAUUGGGGUCAAGGAGAAAAUUUUAAUUUUAUAGAAAUCAUAUUCUAGAAUUCAAAUGCCCCCACCACCCCAACUAUCGAUGUAAAAAAAGGUUUAAAAUUUUAUAAAUCCUUUCUUUCUAUUAAUUCUAUUGAGGCGAAGAGUCUUUAGGAUUCAAACUUGAUUUUGGCCAUGUGUGAAUUGGACUAGACCUGUUUUUACAUUUUCCUUGUGAGUUAGACCUUUUAAAAGGUUUGACAUUUGCAUGGAUGGAGAUAAAACCCUCUGGUAGAACUCCAUAUGGUUUCUCAGUCCCCUUUUUAAAUAGGCGUAGAGUGUUGUGCAAGAUGUUACAAGUGCCAUUCAAUUGUUUUUUGUGUUUUCUUUUUUAUGAGAUCCAUUGUGAAUUUUUUCCACUAAUUUGGAUGGUUCUCCAAUAUUUAUGUGCCGCCUUAAACAACUGACUGUUUAAGCUCUUCAAAUUCGUCCUUUUGUACUCCACUAUAAUAAUUAAUUUAAAAGAAAAGAAUCUGAAUCCUAUUUCUCUUUCCUAUGAAUCAUAGGCUAUGAUGUUACUGAAGAUAUUUCUGAAAUCCUCUUAGCUCUUCUUUUUUUUGGCCACCACCUGCUCAUAUAUUUUUCUUUUUCUAUCUAUGUUGAAAUUUCAAUAAAGAAAAAAAAUGUAAGAUUCUUCACAUUUACAAUAUGUUACAAAAUAUCUAUGAGUGGGAAAUGUAUUUUGCUCUCCAGCUAAGGAACUUAAUCUAAUAUGGAUGUUAUUGUUCAGCCUAAUGUAUAGGUUAUGUAAUUGUAAAGCCAUAGUCAUAUGGAACAUGUUAUUGUGUAUGUGUGGGAGCAAAUUUCAUAUUCGUAAUGCAAAAAAUACAAAGAAUUCUCAUAUAAGCCACUCCAUAGAUAUUAGAGAUUUGCAUAAUUGUUAAUUGCUGGAUCUUCUGAAAGGUAUUCCGAUGUCUUAGAUUAAAUCUCCUCCACCCAGUGGACAACUUUAAAUCAUGGACAAUCAAUAUGACUAUAGAAUCUGGUAAGUAGAAAAUAUGUCUCUUGAUAUGUAGGGAUCCUACUAUAUGCAGAAUUGAUACCUUCAUGGCCCCAUCCUAAACACUUCUACUAUCUGCAUAUUUUUUUACUUAUUCAUUUUUCUUUUUCAGGCAGGUAAUUCAUUGAAACAAAUCUAAGAAACAUUAAGAACACAAAAUAUCCUCACAAGGCAUCCCAAUAAAUAUGGGAAUCACAUAUUACAAUUUACAACCAAUACAUUUCACCUGUUCCAUUUUGUUUUAUUGGUAAGUUACCGACGUACCUAGCAGGUUUUAAACUUUUGACCUCACCUUUCAACUAAUUAUUAUAGGAGAAAGAAGUGCCAAUUGAGCUAUAUUUAAGCAUGUAUUUUGAUGAAAUAUGUACUGAUUGCCAUGUUACUCUUUGCUUGAAAUGUUCAGGUUUCUUUUUUUCCUAUUGGAUGUUCUUUUUUAUUAUCUGCAUUGAACAACUUGCUAAAUACAGGUUUUGUUACAAAGCAUGGUUUAAUACAUCAAGUUUCUAAUCAUAUUUGCAUUUUGGAGAACUAUGUGAGUGUGGUUUCUAUGAUAGGUUACUUUCCCUAUAUCAGUAUAUUGUCUUUGAAGGAAAUCGAGUACUUACCUUAAACUUGACUUUAACUGAGUCCACUUCAGAGAUGUAUUCACGAAAAUAUACGCUUAAAUGGCCAUGAAUAUUUGGAGUCAAAACUUUUGCAUCAUUUUCCAUAUAUGUGAAACUCAGCAAAAUAAUAUCGUAGGCCAUCAAAUUUGAGAUUGUUAGUAGAUCUAUAAGAUUACCCCAGAUUGAUGUAAAGUUAAAUGAAAUACAUAGCACAAUUGCUCAAAAUUUUCAAGAUUGUCUGAAGAAAAUUUCCCAAUACUGCAUUUAUACUUGUAAACUUGCAUUCGAACCAGUGUAUCUUGCCACAAGUUGUGAUGUAGGAGCAACAUUAGAGUCCUUCCAUAGUAUCUCAUAUGCCUUUUGGGAUGUGAUUUUACAAAUUCUCUUUUGUAGCUCACAAUAAAUAACCGAAGUGCAUCAGCCAUGUAUCAUAUGCCUUUUGGGAAAUUCCAUUGUUGCCCGAACAAUUUAUGUAACCAAAAGAAAUAGGACAUUGUUGAAUGAGUUGCUUUGCUAGGAAAUCCCAUUGUAAAUAGAGCUGGAUUGUUUCUUCAAAUGUGUCCAACUCUCAAUUAUAAAUAAAAUGAACAUGCUAUGCUAAGAUUUUUUUAUA
Quercus lobata is the source of this 2812-nucleotide long non-coding RNA. RefSeq lists it as uncharacterized. NCBI's taxonomy places the organism in Eukaryota, Viridiplantae, Streptophyta, Magnoliopsida, Fagales, Fagaceae. The record is from RefSeq and is a predicted model, not a curated record. The transcript is spliced from 2 exons.